Molecule: long non-coding RNA, 729 nt
Organism: Coffea arabica (coffee)
Lineage: Eukaryota; Viridiplantae; Streptophyta; Magnoliopsida; Gentianales; Rubiaceae
Source: RefSeq, a predicted model, not a curated record
CUUUCCUUCUCUGCACAAACAAAACCGCAAACCAUUUCUUUCUUGAUACCGAGAUACCACUCUUCACCAAAUCUCAUUUCCUCUGCACAACUCAACCUCCUCCACCCACGAAUCAUCUUCACUUCACCCCACCUCGUGACCAUCGAAGGAAAGGAGAGUGAGAGGGACGUAGCUUCGGUAUCAUCGACAAGAAAAGAAAAGGAGGAAAACCGCGAGCUGAAGUAUUUUUCUGGUUUGUCCGUGAUUUGAUGGAGAGAUCUGAGAGCCAAACUUCAUCCAAUCCAGCCGCAAGUUUGAGCAAAGGGGAGGAAGAUUUGCGGGCUGCAAUUUCUGGAUAGCCGAGAGGAAGAAAAUUUUGCAGCUGAUUGUCGUGUGAGCUAAACCUUAAGCUGAGGGUAUUGCGAGGACGCGGAAUUCGAUUCCAACUUGAUAUCUGACCUCCACUCUUGGUCCUGGAAACUGAAAGCUGGAUGCUUACUUAUGUUUUCCUUAUGGAUUGUAUUUGACUACUAUAACUUAUUCUGUGGGCUGUAAUGUGUUAUUUGGGAUAAUGUACUUUUCUUUUUGGAUUGCCACUUGAAGCUGGAAAAUGUGUAAACCCUAAUUCGAUUACUUGGUUUGUAAGUUUGUAUUUGGGAUUUAUGUAUGUAUCUAUCCGGAUUGGUGCGACUUUAUACUUUGGUACGUAGCACGUAGGACGUUUAAGAGCAUCGACUGGUUAUUUUAUCA